Molecule: ribosomal RNA, 459 nt
Filed under: uncultured bacterium
Lineage: Bacteria
Description: partial 16S ribosomal RNA
Rfam family: Bacterial small subunit ribosomal RNA
Source: RNAcentral
CCUACGGGCGGCAGCAGUGAGGAAUAUUGGUCAAUGGGCGCGAGCCUGAACCAGCCACGUCGCGUGAGGGAAGACGGUCCUCUGGAUUGUAAACCUCUUUUGUCGGGGAGCAAAAGACGCCACGCGUGGCGUUCCGAGAGUACCCGAAGAAACAGCAUCGGGUAACUCCGUGCCAGCAGCCGCGGUAAUACGGAGGAUGCGAGGGUUAUCCGGAUUUAUUGGGGUAAAAGGGUGAGCAGGCGGAAGAUCAAGUCAGCGGUAAAGUUGAGAGGCUCAACCUCUUCGAGCCGUUGAAACUGGUUGGCUUGAGUGAGUGAGAGGUAGGCGGAAUGCGUGGUGUAGCGGUGAAAUGCAUAGAUAUCACGCAGAACUCCGAUUGCGAAGGCAGCAUACCGGCGCUCAACUGACGCUCAGGCACGAAAGUGUGGGUAUCGAACAGGAUUAGAUACCCUUGUAGUC